This 416-nucleotide long non-coding RNA is filed under the name Homo sapiens (human). Its description in RNAcentral is "HSALNT0330593". The record is from RNAcentral. Lineage: Eukaryota; Metazoa; Chordata; Mammalia; Primates; Hominidae.
CCUGGCCCUUGCCACCUCAGAAUACAGUUAUUUCCAUUACAUGUACCUUUUUCAGUUGAGUGACUGAGGUUCCCACUGUAAAGUCCAGCUUAAACAGAAGAGUAACUACGGAGCUCUUCAGGGAUGCUGGGGCUCCCCUAACAAAUCUGUUUCUCAAUGUGUUCAUGAGAGGUGUGUCUUCUGGAUUCUUCCAGUGUGGGCAAAGAACAUGGACUCACAGACACUGGAUGGCUUGCACAAUGUCUUGAAGCCCCAAAGACUAGGUUGAAAUGCACAUGCAUUUUCACAAUACCACGCUUCCUCAUCUCUGUAAAGCUUACAUUUUAAUCCUCAUACAAGCUUUUGAGUUCUGUGUGCCUCUCUAUGUAUAAACCCUCAGCUCACUGAGUGUGAGUCAGUCUGCUGGUCGAAGGUGC